UACGGAGGGUGCGAGCGUUGUCCGGAAUCAUUGGGCGUAAAGCGCGUGUAGGCGGCCCGGUAAGUCCGCUGUGAAAGUCGGGGGCUCAACCCUCGGAUGCCGGUGGAUACUGUCGGGCUAGAGUGCGGGAGAGGCGAGUGGAAUUCCUGGUGUAGCGGUGAGAUGCGCAGAUAUCAGGAGGAACACCAAUUGCGAAGGCAGCUCGCUGGAACGUUACUGACGCUGAGACGCGAAAGCGUGGGGAGCAAACAGG
RNAcentral lists this ribosomal RNA (253 nucleotides) under uncultured bacterium. RNAcentral's name for it is "partial 16S ribosomal RNA". It matches the Rfam family "Bacterial small subunit ribosomal RNA", at positions 524 to 776 of the family's 1533-position model. The record is from RNAcentral.